UUUCUCUCCUUCCGUUUGUUCUGUUCGGAAUUAGGUUUCUCUUUUUAAUCAACAAUGGAAGACAUUAUUAAUGGAGUAACUAAUCUCAACAUCAGCGAUUCACACAAGAAGAAUCGGAUUGAAGUCUUUAAUACUAAAAACCUCCUCUUUUUUUUAUGGAAAUCUUUCCAAGGUUCCGAAUAAAGAGAAAAACCUGAGUCCUUUGGACAAAUUAAUAUAUGUUAGUCACUGCAACUUAGAAGCAGUGGAAAUAAAGAAGACCAAGAAGACAGAUGGCAUAGCAUUACCAUGAGCAACUCUCAGAUUUCCAUUCACAUAAACCACACUUAAACUAAGUUGGUCGAAGAAUUAAGGAGUGGUUUGGCAAAGGAAGGCCACCAUACAGAUUUUAAGAUAGCCAAGGGGCUGCUUACUGAAGAUGAACAUGUUGCUCACUGAGAUUGCUAAAUUUGAACUUGCUGUUGUAUGCUCAUGGUCAGACGAGAUUCAUGUCCAUUACUGCUGGAGAGGAUAACUACACUUUGUUGACACACCAGAUUCUAUAGCAGCUAUGAACAUUGGUGUAGGUCUUUUCUUUCUCCUUUUUUGCUUAAUUUAUAAUUUUUUGCUCACUUGCUCCUUUAUCUUGAUGAGCUUUUUAUUUUCUUAGCGGGAGAUUCCAUGGCUCAGGUGGAAAUAAAGAUAGGUAUUAGUUUUUUGUUUUACUUUUAUGUUGGUUAACUUGGUAUAAACCUUUCUUUUGCUGUAUGAAAUCCUAUUCUUAAUACUGAUUUGAAAUGGUUCACGUAAAGGCUUCUUUUAGCAUACAAGCUCAGGGUCAGUGGUAGUUGCUUUGCCAGGACUUCAGAGGGGGCAAAUAAGGAUUGAGAAUUAUGACUAAGAAGACUAAGUUCAUUAUUUCUCAUGAUUCAAACAUUGAAUGUUUGUCACUAACACAAAAUGGGAAGUUGCUUGCUACAGGAAGCUCAGAGGGAACCUUGGUUAGAAAUUUUAAACUUUGUUGCAAGAUGUAUGUUUAGUUUACAUAGAAACCCUUAUUUUUCUUGCACUGAAAACUAUUUUAUAUAUAUAGCUUUGUUGCCUAUUCUGUAUGAUCCUUCUACGAUUUAGCAGUGUUUGUAAGAGAGGCCCAUACAAAACGAGUUUGUUCGAGACCUUAUUUAGGUGCAGGUGCUGCUAUUUGUCCUGGCGAAUCAUUCUUAAGAGUCAUAACUCUACAACUCCAGCCUCAUUGGUUUCAGUCAUUUUCUUAUCCCUAUUCAUGCAUUUUUUUUUUUGAUUAUUUUCUGUUCCAAAUGCUUUUUGUGCAUCGUGAUAUACUGUCAGUCAGUGCAUGAUUCAAAUUGGACCAACUGUAAGAUUCAUCAUGAGCUGAUCCAAAGUAUGUAGGGAUUUCUUUAAUAGUUUGUUCCUAGAUGAGUGCCUCAGCAUGACUGUAUUGAACCAACUAUAAGAUCCUUGCAUGUAAGUUAUAUUUCUGAUUUAUGUUACUCAAAGAUCAGUAAUUUAAGAGUGACUAAAACACGAAGAGAAAGUACUUGCUGAGUUUCUCUAACUUAUGUCUACGCGAAACUAUGUUGUCAGAUAAUCAUAGACUAGAUAACUUCGAUGGUGGGGAUUACAGGCAGUUUGAACCCUCACUUAAAAACCACCACCAUCACUUUUGAUACCCUAGAAACAAUUUGUAUGAGUAAAUGACUAAUCCUUGUGUGUUGGGCUUGACUCAACUAAUCCACAUAGCCAUGUGGAAGUAGCAUCCACUUAAGUACCUCUAAGUGAUGUCAUUGUGGUACCCUACCAAAUGGGUAUGCAGUUUUCUUCUUGAUUUGGUUAUCUAAUGGAUGAUUAAUGCAGGGAAUCGUGUAUAAAUAACUGAAAGAGAGGACUUUUUACUUUGUAGGAGGGGGUUUAGUGAGAACAGAAGACAGAAAAUAGAAAAUUGGAGAAGUUGAUGAUGUUUUUGUUGCAGGUAUUACAAAUGCUGAGACUAUUCUACAUGAAAUUCAGGUAGGGGAGGGGGCAUUAUUUUAUUUGUAAACUUAUGAAUUGUUCUAUAACAGGAAUCUCCAAGAUUAACCUGCUUAUCAUAGAAAACGGGAAUCUUUAAGUUCACCUUUGCAUCUUUGCUUUCUGUUGAAACCUGCAAAAGCAAUUGAGAAUGAGAAUUAUGCUUUAACAGCUGGAAUUCAAUAUCAAAAUUCCGAACUAGAGAAUGGCACAGUGAGAUGACGUCAUUAGGACUAUUCAUGUCUCUAACCUUGAUCAACAGGUUACUGGAGAACAUCUAGCAGCACUCUUCAUAGAUUGUUCAUAUUUGGUGAAUGAUCUUUGUAGGAACCUCUUUGAUAUUAUAUGAAGCUUUUUCUACAAGUAUUGUCAUAGUUCCAAGGGAUUGGGGCCAUCAAUAUGCAAUCUUUCGCUUUUUAAUUUUUGCAUUGCUACGAACACAGCUACUUUAAAAAAUUAUACCACAGAAUGAGCGGAACCAGUGUAAACUUGAUUAUUUUGGUUGUUGGGGCUUGCACUGCAAUAGUAAAACAAGUAUAUCUUCUUUUGUUCUAAAAUACUUAGCUUA
Papaver somniferum (opium poppy) is the source of this 2575-nucleotide long non-coding RNA. RefSeq lists it as uncharacterized. Lineage: Eukaryota; Viridiplantae; Streptophyta; Magnoliopsida; Ranunculales; Papaveraceae. The record is from RefSeq and is a predicted model, not a curated record. The transcript has 5 exons.